UGAGCAACUUGAAGUUAUUAAACCCCGUCAGAUCCGGAAGGAAGCAGCGGUAGAUAAUCUGAGAGUGUGACGCAGGGUAGCCUGAUUGG
RNAcentral lists this signal recognition particle RNA (89 nucleotides) under Candidatus Poribacteria bacterium. RNAcentral describes it as "partial signal recognition particle sRNA small type". It matches the Rfam family "Bacterial small signal recognition particle RNA", at positions 11 to 97 of the family's 97-position model. Rfam says of the family: The signal recognition particle (SRP) is a universally conserved ribonucleoprotein involved in the co-translational targeting of proteins to membranes. Archaeal SRP consists of a 7S RNA and homologues of the eukaryotic SRP19 and SRP54 proteins. In most bacteria, the SRP consists of a 4.5S RNA and the Ffh protein (a homologue of the eukaryotic SRP54 protein). Lineage: Bacteria; Candidatus Poribacteria. The record is from RNAcentral.